Molecule: ribosomal RNA, 579 nt
Filed under: uncultured bacterium
Lineage: Bacteria
Description: partial 16S ribosomal RNA
Rfam family: Bacterial small subunit ribosomal RNA
Source: RNAcentral
UGAGGAAUAUUGGUCAAUGGUCGCAAGACUGAACCAGCCAUGCCGCGUGCAGGAAGACGGUCCUAUGGAUUGUAAACUGCUUUUAUACAGGAAGAAACCCUCCCACGUGUGGGAGCUUGACGGUACUGUAGGAAUAAGGAUCGGCUAACUCCGUGCCAGCAGCCGCGGUAAUACGGAGGAUCCAAGCGUUAUCCGGAAUCAUUGGGUUUAAAAGGGGUCCGUAGGCGGUCUUAUAAGUCAGUGGUGAAAGCCCAUCGCUCAACGAUGGAACUGCCAUUGAUACUGUAAGACUUGAAUGCUUAGGAAGUAACUAGAAUAUGUAGUGUAGCGGUGAAAUGCUUAGAUAUUACAUGGAAUACCAAUUGCGAAGGCAGGUUACUACUAAGUGAUUGACGCUGAUGGACGAAAGCGUGGAGAGCGAACAGGAUUAGAUACCCUGGUAGUCCACGCCGUAAACGAUGGAUACUAGCUGUUCGGCGCAAGUUGAGUGGCUAAGCGAAAGUGAUAAGUAUCCCACCUGGGGAGUACGCACGCAAGUGUGAAACUCAAAGGAAUUGACGGGGUCAUAGCUGUUUCCUG